AUUGAACGAUGGCGGAAGGAAGUACACAUGCAAGUCGAACGGCAGCACGGGUGCUUGCCCCUGGUGGCGAGUGGCGAACGGGUGAGUAAUACAUCGGAACAUGUCCUGUAGUGGGGGAUAGCCCGGCGAAAGCCGGAUUAAUACCGCAUACGAUCCACGGAUGAAAGCGGGGGACCUUCGGGCCUCGCGCUAUCGGGUUGGCCGAUGGCUGAUUAGCUAGUUGGUGGGGUAAAGGCCUACCAAGGCGACGAUCAGUAGCUGGUCUGAGAGGACGACCAGCCACACUGGGACUGAGACACGGCCCAGACUCCUACGGGAGGCAGCAGUGGGGAAUUUUGGACAAUGGGCGAAAGCCUGAUCCAGCAAUGCCGCGUGUGUGAAGAAGGCCUUCGGGUUGUAAAGCACUUUUGUCCGGAAAGAAAUCCUUGGCUCUAAUACAGUCGGGGGAUGACGGUACCGGAAGAAUAAGCACCGGCUAACUACGUG
This 486-nucleotide ribosomal RNA is filed under the name uncultured bacterium. RNAcentral's name for it is "partial 16S ribosomal RNA". It matches the Rfam family "Bacterial small subunit ribosomal RNA", at positions 29 to 507 of the family's 1533-position model. The record is from RNAcentral.